GCAGGCUUCUCUGGAUGCCAGUGUGGACAGAGCACCUGUGUGCGAGCAGAGGAAAUGCUCGUGUCGACCACGACCCUAAAUGCGCAGCUGAGACGCCACUCAGGCACUGAUGGCUGGAGGAAGAUGCCUUUCAGAUGUCUAGGCCAGGCCCAGGCCCUUUGCCCAAAUCCUCCAACCCUACAGGGGCCGCAGACCUCCCUGAUGGCCUGAGUCCUGUCCUGAAAACUCGUUCCCCGGACCGCAUCCCCUGACCUGAACAAACCCCUCUGCCCUGUCCUUGCCUUUGUGGACUUCUGCAGCCUGGGCAGCAUCACUGCCCUCAUUUCUAAAGGCCGCGCCCCCUACCGGCCUGUCUCCUCCACACACCCCGGGGUGAGUUUCCCUCCUCCUGCGUCUUUCCGGGUUUUCGGAGCACGCCAAGCCACAGUUUCGGAAGGAGGCUGCCACGCUGUUCUCCUGCACCGCGGCGACCCCUCUGCUCCUCUCCCAGACCCUCCUGCAUCUGAGGACACAGCUGCCACAGUGGGGGCCACGGCGGGCGCCAGCCGGGUCCUGCAGCCGGGUGUGACGGCAAGACUCCAGGAGCCCCAGCACAGCCAGCUUCCGGACUUCCGUGCCCUCUCCGUGGCAGCGUGGGGCAGGGCCCCUCCAGGAGCCGAGUGCCCGGAGGCCGAGGCCAUGACCAUCGUCCGGAGGGAGAGGAGGGUUUGUCGCCGGGUUCCCUUGCCCUGCGGUGCUGCAGAGAGGAAGGCGGUUUUCAUGGGAUGCGCUCCAGAGAGAAGUUCUGCUUUUCCUGUUCUUCACUGAGAGAAGAAAAACCCAUUUCCAGUGGUCUUGACUGGAGAAGGGACACUCCGUGGUACUCAUUUAUUAAACCACCUGCAAAGAAGGCUGUUGUCCCAGACUCUGUCCACAGCACCUGGCUGAGGAAGUGCUGGGUCCCCUUGUCCUCUCCCUUGCCCUGUCCCCUUCUCCCGUGGCUGCUUGCCUGGGCAUCC
Molecule: long non-coding RNA, 998 nt
Filed under: Heterocephalus glaber (naked mole-rat)
Lineage: Eukaryota; Metazoa; Chordata; Mammalia; Rodentia; Bathyergidae
Description: lncRNA (ENSHGLG00000036690.1)
Source: RNAcentral